RNAcentral lists this transfer RNA (72 nucleotides) under bacterium. RNAcentral describes it as "tRNA-Met". It matches the Rfam family "tRNA". From Rfam's summary of the family: Transfer RNA (tRNA) molecules are approximately 80 nucleotides in length. Their secondary structure includes four short double-helical elements and three loops (D, anti-codon, and T loops). Further hydrogen bonds mediate the characteristic L-shaped molecular structure. tRNAs have two regions of fundamental functional importance: the anti-codon, which is responsible for specific mRNA codon recognition, and the 3' end, to which the tRNAs corresponding amino acid is attached (by aminoacyl-tRNA synthetases). tRNAs cope with the degeneracy of the genetic code in two manners: having more than one tRNA (with a specific anti-codon) for a particular amino acid; and 'wobble' base-pairing, i.e. permitting non-standard base-pairing at the 3rd anti-codon position. The record is from RNAcentral.
GCCGAUGUAGCUCAGUGGCAGAGCGUGCGUUUCAUAAGCGCAAUGUCGCAGGUUCGAUCCCUGCCAUCGGCA